GUUCGCCGGCUGCCCACCCAAACCCUCGUUUUCCUUUCUUCUCUCAAUCCUACCCAAAAUCCCAAAAAAAUCUCCUCAAAAAACCCUAAAAAGUCCGAUCUAUCCCCCAAUUAGGGUUUCUAUUGUUGUUUUCUAGGGUUUGCUAGAGAGAAAAGAAAAAAAAAGAGAGGAUCUCGGAGAUGGCGCAGGUGCAUGCUCAUCCGCAGGCGGUGGUGACCGGGCCGGUGAAUGGCGGCGGCGGCGGAGCCGCCGGAGUUGGUCAGUUCCCGUCCACGUCGCUCUAUGUGGGCGAUCUGGACGUGAACGUGACGGAUGCUCAGCUGUUUGAUAUCUUCAAUCAGGUGGGGACGGUGGUGUCUGUGAGGGUCUGCCGUGAUGUGAACACGCGGCGCUCGCUCGGGUAUGCGUAUGUGAAUUUCAGCAACCCAAAUGAUGCUACAAGGGCAUUGGAUGUCCUGAACUUUAGUCCGCUUAAUGGGAGGCCUAUUCGGAUAAUGUUUUCAAAUCGUGAUCCUAGUAUUCGUAGAAGUGGGGCGGCUAAUAUCUUUAUUAAGAAUUUGGACAAGAGCAUAGACAAUAAAGGCCUGCAUGAGACAUUUGUUCAAUAUGGAACUAUUCUCUCUUGUAAGGUUGCCACUGAUCCAAAUGGUCAGUCAAAGGGUUAUGGU
RNAcentral lists this unclassified non-coding RNA (668 nucleotides) under Hevea brasiliensis (rubber tree). The record is from RNAcentral. Lineage: Eukaryota; Viridiplantae; Streptophyta; Magnoliopsida; Malpighiales; Euphorbiaceae.